This 215-nucleotide long non-coding RNA is filed under the name Gossypium barbadense (sea-island cotton). Its description in RNAcentral is "long non-coding RNA (GBAR_LNC016392)". Lineage: Eukaryota; Viridiplantae; Streptophyta; Magnoliopsida; Malvales; Malvaceae. The record is from RNAcentral.
GAGAGUAGGCGCUAUACUUUCAACAUCAUCAGCUACGGCUCUAUCGGGAUCCAUUACUAUUGCAGUAUAUAUAAAAAAGGCAUGUAUAGCUAGACUCACACGCACUAUGUUAGUCCUAGAAUCGACUAAAUUGUAGCUCUGAUACCAAUCAAAUGUAACACCCCUAACUCGUAUCCGUCGCCGAAUUGGGGUUACGAGGCAUUACCGAAUGAGAG